ACUAGUGAUUCGCGGCUGUGGCACGUAGUUAGCCGGCGCUUCUUCUGCAGGUACCGUCACUCUCGCUUCUUCCCUGCUGAAAGAGGUUUACAACCCGAAGCCGUCAUCCCUCACGCGGCGUCGCUGCAUCAGGCUUUCGCCCAUUGUGCAAUAUUCCCCACUGCUGCCUCCCGUAGAGUCUGGGCCGUGUCUCAGUCCCAGUGUGGCCGGUCGCCCUCUCAGGCCGGCUACCCGUCGUCGCCUUGGUGAGCCGUUACCUCACCAACAAGCUGAUAGGCCGCGGCUCAUCCUGCACCGCCGGAGCUUUCCAACCUCCCAGAUGCCCAGGAGGCUCGUAUCCGGUAUUAGACCCCGUUUCCAGGGCUUGUCCCAGAGUGCAGGGCAGAUUGCCCACGUGUUACUCACCCGUUCGCCACUAAUCCACCCCGAAGCUUCAUCGUUCGACUUGCAUGUGUUAAGCACGCCGCCAGCGUUCGUCCUGAGCCAGGAUCAAACUCUCCGU
This 502-nucleotide ribosomal RNA is filed under the name Streptomyces sp. KY001. RNAcentral's name for it is "partial 16S ribosomal RNA". Lineage: Bacteria; Bacillati; Actinomycetota; Actinomycetes; Kitasatosporales; Streptomycetaceae. The record is from RNAcentral.